GCCGAAGUGGUGGAAUUGGUAGACACGACGGUCUCAAACACCGUUGCUUCACGGCGUGCCGGUUCGAGUCCGGCCUUCGGUACCA
This 85-nucleotide transfer RNA is filed under the name Desulfuromonadales bacterium. Its description in RNAcentral is "tRNA-Leu". It matches the Rfam family "tRNA". Rfam says of the family: Transfer RNA (tRNA) molecules are approximately 80 nucleotides in length. The record is from RNAcentral. Lineage: Bacteria; Pseudomonadati; Thermodesulfobacteriota; Desulfuromonadia; Desulfuromonadales.